AGCAGUCGCCGCGGGAAUACGUAGGGUGCGAGCGUUAAUCGGAAUUACUGGGCGUAAAGCGUGCGCAGGCGGUUGUGUAAGACAGGUGUGAAAUCCCCGGGCUCAACCUGGGAAUGGCGCUUGUGACUGCAAAGCUAGAGUGCGGCAGAGGGGGAUGGAAUUCCGCGUGUAGCAGUGAAAUGCGUAGAUAUGCGGAGGAACACCGAUGGCGAAGGCAAUCCCCUGGGCCUGCACUGACGCUCAUGCACGAAAGCGUGGGGAGCAAACAGGAUUAGAUACCCGCGUAGUCCCUGUCUCUUAUAC
RNAcentral lists this ribosomal RNA (303 nucleotides) under uncultured bacterium. RNAcentral describes it as "partial 16S ribosomal RNA". It matches the Rfam family "Bacterial small subunit ribosomal RNA", at positions 507 to 807 of the family's 1533-position model. The record is from RNAcentral.